RNAcentral lists this long non-coding RNA (2750 nucleotides) under Nicotiana benthamiana. RNAcentral's name for it is "long non-coding RNA (NBEN_LNC023284)". Lineage: Eukaryota; Viridiplantae; Streptophyta; Magnoliopsida; Solanales; Solanaceae. The record is from RNAcentral.
CUACCUAGUGAAUAUCUAAAUCCGUUUGAGCUGGAAGGAAAUCAACACUCACUAACUGGAUCUUAAGCGCCUGAAUCUACACAAGGUACGUGGAAUAAAGUAAGUACUCCAACUCAGUGAGUAAUAAUAAUAAAUGAAGACCGAGCGAUAGGAAAUCACAUAAAGGAAAAUCAACAGGCUAGAGAGAUGCAGUAAAAUCCAGUAAAAGCAAUGAAACAGUGAAAACAUGUAAACUCACAUGAGUUCAACUAAACUUUCUUUAAAAUGAGUUUUAGCAGUGAAGCAAGUAAAUGACAGGCAACUAGAAAAGAUAAACACAUAAGAAUCCACCCCACGGGCACAAUAUCAACAUAAUUCGUCCUUCGGGUAAUAACAUGGAACAAUACCAACCCAUCGGGCUAUAUCUCAUAUCAUAAUGGGUACCUGCGCUUACUGGGAGUGUAAGACUCCUAAAGGGGCACCUUACGGCCUAAGCUCAAGUCCAAAAACCCGACCACAAAUGACGCCACAAAUCCUCAAGUCUAGGUCUCCAAUACCAAGCCCUAGUAUCCUCAAUUUUAACUCUUAAUUUCCACUAAUACCAUGAUCAACCAAUGGAAAAAUGAUCAUAAACUCAACCAAUGAAGCUUAGGGAACUUAUCAAACUUAUUCUUUUCGAUUUGCCCUUAAAUUCACUGCCCUAGCCGUUUCCAUUCUUCAAAAAAUGGAGAACUUAGAGUCACACCUCCCUUUGUUCCAAACCUCGAGAGGGUAAUAUAAAGGGAAUUUUUCCAAUUAAAGUUACAUUAUUAGAAAUGGAAUUAUUUAUUCGAUUAUCAGAGUCGCCACUUGGGAUAGUUCAUUUGGAGUCUCAAGUCACCGAUUUAUUUUAAAUCCCAAAUCAAGGAAAAUUUUAUUUUUCCUUUCGAAGUACGUGAACCGAAAAUUCUGAAUACGGUAUUAUGUUAACCCGAGAGAAGGUAUUAGGCACCCCCGAAUUCCGAGGUUCUAGCACGGUUGCUUAAACUAUCAUAAUUGGCCUAUUAUCUUAUUUUAAAAGAUGUUUUAGCCUAUGGUUCAAUUUUAACUUUAUAACCGCUUUUAUUUAAUUAUCGUUACAUAUUGCGAAUCAUGUCAUAGGAACCGUACCCACGAUCUACAACAUGUUUAAUUUUUAAAAAUUAAAUUGUGGCGGGUGACAUAAAUUUUCCCCCGCAUUUUAGCAAUUAAUUGUCACAACUACAUCACAAAAAUCGUAGCCGGAGCUACAAAAAUUAUUUAGUUAACGUGCCUAAAUCAAAUUACAAAAUUUCGAGGCUUUCAUGCAUUGGAGGUAUUCAGUAGUCAAUCAAUUACUUAGGAAAUAUUCAGUAGUUAGGUUUAUGAUUCUAUUUGUCCUUUAGCAAAUGUAUUUCGAAACAAGACAUAAGAGGAAGUUUCAGGCAGAACAUAUUUAAUAUGAUACUGAUAUCAUGAGUAGAAUUUUCAUCCUCCUUUUCUGUCAACUUAAUAAUUGUCAAUAACAAUCUAAAAUGUUACACAAUAUAAUAAUAUGCAAAAAAGAUAAAGUUGGGACCUUGAAAUCAGCGGUUUUAGGAUCAGCUUUAGGCUGGACAGAUUGUUUGAGGGAUUGAACAUAUUUUUAGACAUUUUUCGGUUUGUUUUUAUUCUUAAGACCAAUGGUCUUGUCUUUAAUUAUCUUCUGCUUCUUUGCUAGAUCUGCAAAAUCUGCAUUUUUCUUGGCACCAUACAUAUCACAAACCACACAAAAAAAAAAAAAAAAAAAAAGCGGUUUUAGGAUCAGCUUUAGGCUGGACAGAUUGUUUGAGGGAUUGAACAUAUUUUUAGACAUUUUUCGGUUUGUUUUUAUUCUUAAGACCAAUGGUCUUGUCUUUAAUUAUCUUCUGCUUCUUUGCUAGAUCUGCAAAAUCUGCAUUUUUCUUGGCACCAUACAUAUCACAAACCACAAAAAAAAAAAAAAAAAAAAAAUUAACAACCUGUUUGCACGUCUUUCUCAAACCCAAAAAAUACCAUAAAAUUGCAAAACUUUUUUUGGAAAGAGAUAGAUUGAAGUGAGAGCUGCUAUAACACAAAUAUUGCUACGUCUUUUUCAUGAAACAAAAAAAUCACAGAACACAUGGAAAGGGAAUAAAAUAGAGCAGUAAACACAAUAGAUAAUCUACCCAGCGUUGGAAGCAUUUGCUUCCAGUCAAGCUCCUUAAAUUGGUUUCUAUUUGCUUGUAAAUUCCCUUCUAACAGUAGGAUAAUGAAAAUUAAAUUAAAUGAACUCAAAGCAUGAAGAUAUUCAAGUAAUCAACGACAGAUGAUGCAAAAUUCCAAGCUCAUGUCAUUACAAUCAUGUAUGCGAAAUUAAAAAGAGACAGAGAAGAAUUGGACCUUUAAUUAGUUUUGCCAAUAUUUAAAGAACAAUCCAAACAAGGUUACACAGUAAUGGCUAAAAUCAGCAGUAAAAAUGGUGACAAGAAUUGGACCAGGGCGCGACUCACGACCAGAAUCUUUUGACGAAGAAUCCGAACCUGAUUUCGUCUGGACAUCCUUGAACUCCACUCUCAUCACAUAAUAAAAUUGAAUUUGCGAGAAAGCAGCAAAGGAGAUGAAAUCAGUGAUCGGAUAUGAGGAAAAUGGGGAAAAUUAUCUAAGGAAAAAGGAGAGAAAAUCAAGGACAGUUGGUCAUCUCUUUCUCUGAAGAAAAGAGCUACGGGGCGCCAUUUCUAGAAUUUUGGGGGUCUGAUCAUAUUCUCUAGAUCUUU